GCGUUGGUGGUUCAGUGGUAGAAUACUCACCUGCCACGCGGGUGACCCGGGUUCGAUUCCCGGCCGACGCA
This 71-nucleotide transfer RNA is filed under the name Rhipicephalus microplus (southern cattle tick). Its description in RNAcentral is "tRNA-Gly". It matches the Rfam family "tRNA". Rfam says of the family: Transfer RNA (tRNA) molecules are approximately 80 nucleotides in length. Lineage: Eukaryota; Metazoa; Arthropoda; Arachnida; Ixodida; Ixodidae. The record is from Rfam by way of RNAcentral.